This 872-nucleotide long non-coding RNA is filed under the name Panax ginseng (ginseng). RNAcentral describes it as "long non-coding RNA (PGIN_LNC011164)". Lineage: Eukaryota; Viridiplantae; Streptophyta; Magnoliopsida; Apiales; Araliaceae. The record is from RNAcentral.
GCAAAUUAUGUUUGUAAUUUGAUCUAUGUAAUUUGUGAAUAUUCUUCAUUGGUUGUUGUUGGUUGUGAUAUGUCAUUUAUAAUUUAAAAGCAUGCAUGGGAGAACCACUUAAAUUCAUACAGGAAGUUUAAAAAAAUAUUUGGCAUCCCCAGUUUAAUAUUGUGGAGCCUAAAAGUGGCAUACAGGAACUUCAAUAAAUAAAUAAAACAAUACACAGUUGACAUCCGCAGUAUUAAAUUGUGGAGCUUGAAAACAUGUAAAUCCGCAUUAUUAAAACGACGUUUUAAUGUUAUUAGUUAUUAUGAAAAACGGCUUCGUUUGUCAUAUUAAAUUAGAGUCUGCAGUAUUAAACUGCGGACGAGACUUACUUAAAAACGACGUCGUUUCCCUAUUGGUCAUACCUAGCGUUCUCAAUGUGGAUUUUGAAGAUGGAGAAAUAUUAACAUUAAGAACAUUUGUAACUGAAUCAUAUUCGAUCCAAGUCACUAUGGUCUUUCCAAUCUUGUUCCACCUACGAACAGGACUUCAAAGUUUCCUGGUCUCAGUUGCCAUAUGGCGUCGUUUGGAUAGACCUAACGUCCGCAGUAUUAAAAUCUGGACGAGACUGAAGAUUAAAACAGCAUUGAUCCAUGCUUAACGUCCGCAAAAGACUUAGACAAAGAGAGAUAUUUUGGACAUAUGUCCCGUCCACAGUAUUAAACUGCAGAAUAUUGAAAAUUAAAUUGCGGACAUGAGCUCUAUUAAACCGUUGGAUCAUCAGAUGAAGGAAGCAGACCGGCUAUAGCGUGGCUCUCUCCAGCGAACUGGAGGGAGCAAACUAAGAGCGAACCGACUAUAGCGACGGUUUUUUCCGUCGCUAAAGCAUAAAAAAU